GGGAAGGAUAAUUGCAAGUCGAACGAAAUUACUUGCUUAUAUCUCUUCGGAGUGACGAGCUUUUAACUUAGUGGCCCUUAGGUGAGUAACACGUGAGCAACCUGCCUUUCAGAGGGCGAUAACGACUGGAAACGGUCGCUAAUACCGCAUGAUAUAUUGAAUCGGCAUCGGUUUAAUAUCAAAGGAGCAAUCCACUGAAAGAUGGGCUCGCGUCUGAUUAGAUAGUUGGUGGGGUAACGGCCUACCAAGUCGACGAUCAGUAACCGGACUGAGAGGUUGAACGGCCACAUUGGGACUGAGAUACGGCCCAGACUCCUACGGGAGGCAGCAGUGGGGAAUAUUGCACAAUGGGGGAAACCCUGAUGCAGCAACGCCGCGUGAAGGAAGACGGUUUUCGGAUUGUAAACUUCUUUUCUUAGUGAAGAAGAAAGUGACGGUAGCUAAGGAAUAAGCAUCGGCUAACUACGUGCCAGCAGCCGCGGUAAUACGUAGGAUGCGAGCGUUAUCCGGAAUUACUGGGUGUAAAGGGAGCGCAGGCGGGACUGCAAGUUGGAUGUGAAAUGCCGCAGCUUAACUGCGGAGCUGCAUCCAAAACUGUAGUUCUUGAGUGGAGUAGAGGCAAGCGGAAUUCCGAGUGUAGCGGUGAAAUGCGUAGAUAUUCGGAGGAACACCAGUGGCGAAGGCGGCUUGCUGGGCUCUAACUGACGCUGAGGCUCGAAAGUGUGGGGAGCAAACAGGAUUAAAUACCCUGGUAGUCCACACUGUAAACGAUGAUAGCUAAGUGUGGGGGGUCGGACCCC
Molecule: ribosomal RNA, 800 nt
Filed under: uncultured bacterium
Lineage: Bacteria
Description: bacterial SSU rRNA
Rfam family: Bacterial small subunit ribosomal RNA
Source: RNAcentral